This is a long non-coding RNA of Aquila chrysaetos chrysaetos, 2552 nucleotides long. RefSeq lists it as uncharacterized. The record is from RefSeq and is a predicted model, not a curated record. Lineage: Eukaryota; Metazoa; Chordata; Aves; Accipitriformes; Accipitridae. The transcript has 2 exons.
UAACUUUGGAAGGAAGAAGGGGAGAAGGUCAUAUCCGCCUAGCCAGCGAAGCCUGCAAGUCAAGUGUCCGUGCCAGAUCCGGAGCCUGUGUUCCCGUUCCGCAUGGAGAUGGGGAUCCUCCCGUUCAGAGGGACCUGAGCAUUGCCCUUUGGUUGCCCUUUUCUAGUGCAUGCUACCUGUGGAAAUUGAAUGAGUCUUAUUGCCAUGUUACUUCAUUGUGGUUGCACUCCACGUGCCAAAAAUUAACAGUAUUAAUGAUCCAUGCCAAGUCCCUAAUUUCCUAGUUUCAAGUUCAUUCUGCUGUACAGGCUGCUUUAUUCUAUAGCUAGGUUGUAGAUCAUUAGUAGAUACCUUACUGUCAAGUAGGAAGUUUUGCAGAUUAUUUUAAUUACAGAAUGAGCCUUCAUAAUAAGUGAAAUGAACAUUACCUUUUAAAUAUACUUCUGCUUGGUUGUUGUUAAUAAUGAUGGUGGAUGGAAAGAAGAAAGCAUUUCACAAUGUGCACUACACAGCUUUUUAUCAAAACCCUGCAGCAAAGAGGCAAACCUGUCCAGUAGAAUCUUUGGUAUGUAGAUUGGAUGGCAUAGUAGGUCACAGCUGAGGGAAAAAAAAGCAACGCUAGCUACUCAAAUCCCCCAACCCUACAUAUAUCUUGAGUUUUGCAGGUUGUUUAAUUUUAAAUCUUCUUUCAGCAUAAGAGAGCUAAGAGUUUAUCACUAACUUCUGCCUCUCUUAAUAAUUCAUCUGCAUUACAGUUGCAUAGGCUUAAUUAGCUGCUUCUGCUUCGGUUUUCUCAUGUCAUGUUGUCUUUUUCAUUAGAUCUCUCUUCUUCAUUUGUGUUAGAUGUUUGCACAUUUCCUAGCUUUAAGCAAUGUGGGCUAUAAUUGGGAUCUAAAGUUGGAACACGUCUUCAGUUACCGUUUUGUUAAUUCCUUUUAUUUUCGUGUCAAACCCGUGUGUUAUCAUGUAUUGCCAAUGAAGUGAAAGAGAAGUCAAAGGUAAUCCACGUUGGCUUUUUUGCUUCUAGCAAAGGUUUGUGUCUUUAGACUUGUUUUCUGUUAUAAAUGUUCUAUGAAAGUAUCCAUACUAUUUUCAUUUUCUUUUUUUCAUAGAGGCUGUGCACAAGCAUGUUACAGAAUGCUGGAGGCAUUUAAGCUUGUAAAAUCAAAUGUAUCAAUGAUGUAGUUUUCUCAAAUUCCCUGCAACUCUUUUAUCGCUCUUUUUCCUUCACAUAUAAAUUUUUUAUUUUUUUUUAAUAUAAUAAUAAGCUGGGACUGAAUUAGUGUGAACAACUGAGUUGAAACACUGCUAAAGUUGUUAAGUUAAAAGGGGAAAAAGGAGAAAAUAGAAGGCAGAAGUAGCAGACUGGAAGCUGGAGAACAUGAUUGAAAACAGGAAGGGCAGUCCCAGCAUACAGAUAGUUUAUCAGACGUAUGGAACAGGCUUUGUUUUUCCAUGUGAUAUUUGGAAUGACUAUGGGGACACAUCAUGCUUUGUUUCUGGACAGUGAUAUUUUGGGGUGAAAAGUUGCGGAGACAGCAGUCUUCUGCAAAGCUCUGGUCUUAAGGUGCUGAAACUCUGGAAGAUUUAAAUAAAAGUAGUAAUAGACAACACACUGCUGUUGCAUAACUUAAUGGCAAAUUAACAUUCUACUUUGAAAUGAUUGGUUUCAUCAGCUUUUCAGGUAAGAUCUGGGCUCCUGUAUUUUUGAAGUUGAAGGUAGCUAUGGGUGAUUAUUCUGCCGAUCUAUAAAUCAAGCAACUUGUGGAAGUAAACUAGAAAAAUUUUAAUAACCUUGUUCCUCAUCUCUUCUGUGUCAUUUUUCAUACUAAAAAAAAAAAAAAAAGUCUUUAAAAAACUUCUCUGUAAGCCAUCUGAUAUCUUUAGGAUUUGAACACAGUUCUGUCACAGUGACAAAUACUUGGCUUCCAAAAAUUUUUAUUUUCAUUGUGCAAAUAUGUGUGUUUUCAGCAUAAUACAAGGCAGAUUUUGGAUGUGUACUGCCGUGAAUUUACCCAGGUAGAGUGAACUUUAUAUGUUUACCGCUUGCUUAUUGAGUUCAAACAUGUGAUUGAUUGGACUGUAACAGAUUUUGUCUGUGAUAAAGCCACUGAAGUUAACUUAGCUGAAGAUAAAAAGUUAACUUAGAGUUAUUAAAUUCUAUUUCUCUGACUACUUUUGCUGCUCAUGGCAUGUUUUAAACAUUAAUUUACUUAUUUGUUAUGUGCUGUAGACUGUAAUUAAGUAGAAUCCACAAUUCAAAACAUGGAGAGAUUAAUGAAAAUUUCUGCUGCUGUCAUGUGGGAUGACAUGUCCUUGAAGUUGAGGAUUGAAAAUGAAAUGGCUUUGAUAAUGGAAGAUAUGUUUUCAGUUUUGUGAAGGGCUGAAUAGAUCUUCUGAUACAGUAAAUUAACAACCAGCUGAUCUUCUGGAGUGCUGCUUAAAAGGGCUGUGUUUGAUUUUGAAAAAGUGAUAUUUUUUUUGGUUUGUUUGUUUGAAACAGCCAUUAAAAUGAAAUUAAUUGCAGUGACAUGCUUGCCACUGGAUAGGAA